UACGUAGGGGGCUAGCGUUGUCCGGAAUCAUUGGGCGUAAAGAGCGUGUAGGCGGCUCGGUAAGUCCGCUGUGAAAGUCCAGGGCUCAACCCUGGAAUGCCAGUGGAAACUGUCGAGCUAGAGUCCGGAAGAGGCGAGUGGAAUUCCUGGUGUAGCGGUGAAAUGCGCAGAUAUCAGGAGGAACACCAAUGGCGAAGGCAGCUCGCUGGGACGGUACUGACGCUGAGGAGCGAAAGCUAGGGGAGCAAACGGG
This 253-nucleotide ribosomal RNA is filed under the name uncultured bacterium. Its description in RNAcentral is "partial 16S ribosomal RNA". It matches the Rfam family "Bacterial small subunit ribosomal RNA", at positions 524 to 776 of the family's 1533-position model. The record is from RNAcentral.